UGCAAGUCGAGCGAAUGGAUUAAGAGCUUGCUCUUAUGAAGUUAGCGGCGGACGGGUGAGUAACACGUGGGUAACCUGCCCAUAAGACUGGGAUAACUCCGGGAAACCGGGGCUAAUACCGGAUAAYAUUUUGAACYGCAUGGUUCGAAAUUGAAAGGCGGCUUCGGCUGUCACUUAUGGAUGGACCCGCGUCGCAUUAGCUAGUUGGUGAGGUAACGGCUCACCAAGGCAACGAUGCGUAGCCGACCUGAGAGGGUGAUCGGCCACACUGGGACUGAGACACGGCCCAGACUCCUACGGGAGGCAGCAGUAGGGAAUCUUCCGCAAUGGACGAAAGUCUGACGGAGCAACGCCGCGUGAGUGAUGAAGGCUUUCGGGUCGUAAAACUCUGUUGUUAGGGAAGAACAAGUGCUAGUUGAAUAAGCUGGCACCUUGACGGUACCUAACCAGAAAGCCACGGCUAACUACGUGCCAGCAGCCGCGGUAAUACGUAGGUGGCAAGCGUUAUCCGGAAUUAUUGGGCGUAAAGCGCGCGCAGGUGGUUUCUUAAGUCUGAUGUG
RNAcentral lists this ribosomal RNA (560 nucleotides) under Bacillus sp. (in: firmicutes). RNAcentral describes it as "bacterial SSU rRNA". The record is from RNAcentral. Lineage: Bacteria; Bacillati; Bacillota; Bacilli; Caryophanales; Bacillaceae.